This 440-nucleotide ribosomal RNA is filed under the name uncultured bacterium. Its description in RNAcentral is "bacterial SSU rRNA". It matches the Rfam family "Bacterial small subunit ribosomal RNA", at positions 338 to 795 of the family's 1533-position model. The record is from RNAcentral.
CCUACGGGCGGCUGCAGUAGGGAAUAUUGCACAAUGGGCGCAAGCCUGAUGCAGCGACGCCGCGUGAGCGAUGAAGGCCUUCGGGUCGUAAAGCUCUGUCCUAAGGGAAGAAUAAUGACGGUACCUUAGGAGGAAGCCCCGUCUAACUACGUGCCAGCAGCCGCGGUAAUACGUAGGGGGCGAGCGUUAUCCGGAAUCACCGGGCGUAAAGGGUGCGUAGGCGGCCCUGCUAGUCAGGCGUUAAAUACCUCGGUUAAACCGAGGUCAGCUCUUGAAACUGUAGGGGUUGAGUGCAGGAGAGGAGAGCGAAAUUCCUAGUUUAGAGGUGAUAUGCGAAGAUAUUGGGGGGAACACCAGUGGCGAGGGCGUCUGGCUGGACUGCAACUGACGCUGAGGCACGAAAGCGUGGGGAGCGAACAUGAUUAGAUAACCGAGUAGUC